Mustela lutreola (European mink) is the source of this 1743-nucleotide long non-coding RNA. RefSeq lists it as uncharacterized. NCBI's taxonomy places the organism in Eukaryota, Metazoa, Chordata, Mammalia, Carnivora, Mustelidae. The transcript is spliced from 3 exons. The record is from RefSeq and is a predicted model, not a curated record.
UGUGCUGUUUAGAAUUUCAACCAUUUACCAUUACUGACUGUAAUUUCCCUUUAGAGGAAAAAAUCAUGGAAAAUUUUUCUAUAUGAAAGAAAAAAAUGUAAAGCAGAUGGGGAACAUUUGACUGUGGUUUCUUAUGCACAACAACCAGAGACUGCAUCUACAAAUGAAGUUCAACCACUGUCUGUUUGGAUAAUUAGAAGUUUGCUAGCAUAAAUUCAGGUGAUCUAAAACAAUUUGAACUAUACUACGUGAAUACAAAUGGGAAGCAGGUCCAUCAUAGGCUAGAGGUCAGGAAGCUCAAGUGCUCUUGUGUAUGAGAUUCAUGGUUCUGUGUACUUAUGGUCACUAAUAUAGACCUUUCACUCUUAUGUGCAGUGUUGAAGAGGGAAAUCACUCAUCAGUUCUUUUGCACUAUAUUUUGAAGUUCUAGUGAUUCUGUCCAGGGGAGGUGAAUCCAGCUCCAGAUCUAAGAGAGGAUGUUGAACACCUUUCCUGUGUUACAGGAAGGGCAGGACAUUUGCAACCUUGGAGGCAAUUGGGUAGGGGGCUGUGACCAAAUAUCAUACAGGCAAAGGAUAGAUACUCAGAUUCCUGGAUGGGUAUUCCACACCAGACACCUAUCCAGACUCCUCACUUCCAUCUCCUAGUCUCUCUCCAAGGUGCUACUUCUCAGCCACGUAGGUCUGCAUGAAUAGAAAUAAAUUUGGGACUACUAAGAGUUGUAGUAUUGGCAUGUGAAAUCACUGGAAUGCAUGGAUGCAGUUACCCUUAUGUUAUCACUUGCGCUUUCUGCUUCAUGAUGUACUUUCUGGAAUGGAGGAAGAGGGUGGUGGAGUAUUAUGACGGCUAAUUCUUUGAAAUGGUGUGAACCCAUAGCCUCUGCUCUCAAUGUCACCCCUGUAGACUGAUUUGGGGAGAGGUGAGAAGAAAAGAUUUGGAAUGGGUGUUUGGCUACCACUUGAGAUAGCCCCCUUAUUAUUUGUAAUAGCCUGUGGAGUUGGGGUGGAUGUUGAGGGCAGGAGAAUCCAAAUCCUGGAAGGUUAAGUGACCUAAUUUUCUCUUAAAGUUUAUACUAUUGUCUUUUUUUUACCCCUUCAUUCUAUUUACCUGCAUGAUAGAGAUCAGAGAGGGAAAACAUGAUAGAGAAGAAAUUUUCAGAAAGUUCAUAAGGACUUAUGUCUUGCAGUUUGAUGCAUGUAAGUUAUUGACUUUUCAUAUUCCUGGAUUUUUGGGGGUCGUUAUUAACUUUAUAUUUCUAAUAGAUUAAUUUUUCUAAAUUAGAUGUGUAUUAAGCAGUUUUGAGAUGUUUUCCUAACUUGUGCAUGGCUAGCCAAGGAUCUGCUUGAAUAUAAAUAGCAUCACACGCUGGGAGAUUGUACUCGAUCUAAUAUUUACCCAUCUUGCACGAAGAAGUGGGACAAGGUCACUGGGAAACGUAACCUAAGAAGUGGCCAUUUCAACAGGGGUUAUUAAACUCUGUUCUAAAAUACUGCUGUCACUGGGAGUAUCCAGAUACGAAGAGCUGUGCCAGUUGGAAAAAGGGGAAAGUUGGACACAGACAUAAACAUGAACAGAGGGAAGACCACGUGAAGACACAGGGAGAAGAUGGCUAUCUACCAUCCAAGGAAAGAGGCCUGGAUUCUUCCUUCACAGUUCUCAGAAGGAAGCAACCCCAGUGAUACCUUUAUCUGGAUCUUCUAGCCUCCAGAACUAUGAGGCAAUAAAUUUCUGUUGUUUAAGCCA